This 419-nucleotide ribosomal RNA is filed under the name uncultured bacterium. Its description in RNAcentral is "bacterial SSU rRNA". It matches the Rfam family "Bacterial small subunit ribosomal RNA", at positions 54 to 469 of the family's 1533-position model. The record is from RNAcentral.
CAUGCAAGUCGAACGGUAACAGGUCUUUCGGGAUGCUGACGAGUGGCGAACGGGUGAGUAAUACAUCGGAACGUGUCUAGUAGUGGGGGAUAACUACUCGAAAGAGUGGCUAAUACCGCAUGAGAUCUAUGGAUGAAAGCAGGGGACCUUCGGGCCUUGUGCUACUAGAGCGGCCGAUGGCAGAUUAGGUAGUUGGUGAGAUAAAAGCUUACCAAGCCUACGAUCUGUAGCUGGUCUGAGAGGACGAUCAGCCACCCUGGGACUGAGACACGGCCCAGACUCCUACGGGAGGCAGCAGUGGGGAAUUUUGGACAAUGGGUGCAAGUCUGAUCCACCAAUGCCGUGUGCACGAUGAACGCCUUCGGGUUUUAAACUGCUUUUGUACUGAACGAAACGUCUUGGGUUAAUACCCCGGGAUC